CUGGAAUGACAUCACAUGCAAGAAACAACUUUAAUAUGAGCUCUAGCACAUUUGUAUUUCCUCAUUCAUGCAGGUGAAGUAUUAAGAACUGAAUUUAUCAAGUAUAAUUCAGAGACAUUCAGUG
This is a long non-coding RNA of Dipodomys spectabilis (banner-tailed kangaroo rat), 124 nucleotides long. RefSeq lists it as uncharacterized. The record is from RefSeq and is a predicted model, not a curated record. Lineage: Eukaryota; Metazoa; Chordata; Mammalia; Rodentia; Heteromyidae. The transcript has 2 exons.